UGGGGAAUAUUGCGCAAUGGCCGAAAGGCUGACGCAGCGACGCCGCGUGGGGGAUGAAGCAUUUCGGUGUGUAAACCCCUGUUGCUCGGGACGAACAACCUGUUUCGCCAGGUCUGACGGUACCGGGUGAGGACGCACCGGCUAACUCCGUGCCAGCAGCCGCGGUAAUACGGAGGGUGCGAGCGUUGUCCGGAAUCACUGGGCGUAAAGGGCGCGUAGGCGGUCUGUUAAGCGUGCGGUGAAAGCCCGGGGCUCAACCCCGGGUCUGCCGUGCGAACUGGCGGACUAGAGCACUGUAGAGGCAGGUGGAAUUCCGGGUGUAGCGGUGGAAUGCGUAGAGAUCCGGAAGAACACCGGUGGCGAAGGCGGCCUGCUGGGCCGAUACUGACGCUGAGGAGCGAAAGCCAGGGGAGCAAA
RNAcentral lists this ribosomal RNA (417 nucleotides) under uncultured bacterium. Its description in RNAcentral is "bacterial SSU rRNA". It matches the Rfam family "Bacterial small subunit ribosomal RNA", at positions 355 to 772 of the family's 1533-position model. The record is from RNAcentral.